ACACCGGCGGCCCGAGUGGUAGCCGUUUUUAUUGGGUCUAAAGGGUCCGUAGCCGGCCUGAGAAGUCCUUUGGGAAAUCUGACAGCUUAACUGUCAGGCUUCUAAGGGAUACUGUCAGGCUUGGGACCGGAAGAGGUAAGGGGUACUCCAGGGGUAGGAGUGAAAUCUUGUAAUCCCUGGGGGACCAUUUGUGGCGAAGGCGCCUUACCAGAACGGGUCCGACGGUGAGGGACGAAAGCUAGGGGAGCAAACAGAAUUAGAAACCCUAGUAGUCC
RNAcentral lists this ribosomal RNA (275 nucleotides) under uncultured bacterium. Its description in RNAcentral is "partial 16S ribosomal RNA". It matches the Rfam family "Archaeal small subunit ribosomal RNA", at positions 473 to 747 of the family's 1478-position model. The record is from RNAcentral.